Molecule: ribosomal RNA, 376 nt
Filed under: uncultured Salinisphaera sp.
Lineage: Bacteria; Pseudomonadati; Pseudomonadota; Gammaproteobacteria; Salinisphaerales; Salinisphaeraceae
Description: bacterial SSU rRNA
Rfam family: Bacterial small subunit ribosomal RNA
Source: RNAcentral
GGUGCAAGCGUUAAUCGGAAUUACUGGGCGUAAAGCGAGUGCAGGCGGUCGCGUGUGUCGGGUGUGAAAGCCCAGGGCUCAACCUUGGAAUUGCACUCGAAACUGCGUGACUAGAAUGUGGUAGAGGAAGACGGAAUUCCACGUGUAGCGGUGAAAUGCGUAGAUAUGUGGAGGAACACCAAUGGCGAAGGCAGUCUUCUGGGCCAACAUUGACGCUGAGGCUCGAAAGCGUGGGUAGCAAACAGGAUUAGAUACCCUGGUAGUCCACGCCGUAAACGAUGAGAACUAGACGUUGGUUGACAUAGUCGACCAGUGUCGCAGCUAACGCGUUAAGUUCUCCGCCUGGGGAGUACGGCCGCAAGGUUGAAACUCAAAG